UACAGAGGGUGCAAGCGUUACUCGGAAUUACUGGGCGUAAAGCGUGCGUAGUCGGUUAUUUAAGUCGGGUGUGAAAGCCCCGGGCUCAACCUGGGAAUUGCAUUCGAUACUGGAUAGCUAGAGUUCGGCAGAGGGAAGCGGAAUUUCCGGUGCAGCGGUGAAAUGCGUAGAUAUCGGAAGGAACAUCAGUGGCGAAAGCGGCUUCCUGGACCAGAACUGACGAUCAGGCACGAAAGCGUGGGGAGCAAACAGG
Molecule: ribosomal RNA, 253 nt
Filed under: uncultured bacterium
Lineage: Bacteria
Description: partial 16S ribosomal RNA
Rfam family: Bacterial small subunit ribosomal RNA
Source: RNAcentral